GGGAUGGCGUGGGUGGCGCGUAUGCAAGGCGCGGGCGUCGCGGCGGCGUCUCGGCGGAGACGAAGCUGGCAGGUGGGGCCCACCUGUCAGUGGCUGCGGUCGGGCGGGCGGCUCGGCCGGUCGGGCUAAGCGGGCCAGCCUAGUGGGUCGGUCCGUUUCCUUUUUUUUCUUUUUCUUUUUCCUUUUUGUUUUUCUGUUUUUCCUUUGUAUCUUUUAAUUUUGUAAAAUCAUGUUUUAUCAUAAUUCAACUUUUGGGACUAUUUUCCCUUCCAAAUAAAAUAUAUAAAAAUAGAUUUGCCCCAUAAAUGCUUUUAGGGCUAUAUAACUAUUUAAAUAAAAUAGUUUUUCAACUCCAAUAAAUACUAAAAAAUUAUGGGGUAGCUUAUUUAUGCAAUAAACCCCUUUUAUAGUCAAACCCUAAUGGUUUAAAGAUCUAAAGUCCAAAUGGGUGAAAUCCUAGGAUUUAAAAUGAAAUAAAACCUUUUUGGAAUUCAAAUUUGAUUCAAAUAUGCAAUUGUGACAUGAUGCUCAUGAAUGCAAUGCAUAUGAAAAAGGUUUGAAAAUUUGGGAUGUUACAGGGCUCAACAAAAGAGACAAAAGCAUGAUGUUCACAAAAGUUAGCUAAUUGUCUACGAGUAGUUACCCCUUUCCUCACACUACCUAGGACAUUGUCCAAGGUAUGUUCUUGACGUUGAAGUCUUGAGGCAAUCUUCAUGGCCCGACGUUCCAUAGCUUCUUGAGAUUGAUCUUAAGGCUCAAUGGAAGCUUGAACAUCUUGAAGAUCUUGAUUUUGAACAUCAUUUGGUGAAGAAUCACCAACAUCCACAUUAGCUUGAUUUUGUCCUUGAUCAACUUGUUCAUCAACAUGAAGGACUUGUUCUUGUUCUUGGUUAGCUUGUGGAUCUUGUGGAGAUGAGGGCUCCACUUGAGUAGAGCAUUGUCCUUCUCCUUCUUUCAUACGGGAAUCCUCAACGAGCAUAAUUUGACCUAUGCCCAUUCUUCGUAUGGCUUGGUGAGCAAUUUCAUCAUCUACAUCCACAACAUCAACUUGCCUCACAUGGGAGCCAUUAUUCUCAUCAAACUCCACAUUACAAGAUUUUUCAACACAUCCGGU
RNAcentral lists this long non-coding RNA (1114 nucleotides) under Brachypodium distachyon (stiff brome). RNAcentral describes it as "long non-coding RNA (BDIS_LNC001173)". The record is from RNAcentral. Lineage: Eukaryota; Viridiplantae; Streptophyta; Magnoliopsida; Poales; Poaceae.